UACGUAGGGUGCGAGCGUUGUCCGGAAUUACUGGGCGUAAAGCGUGCGUAGACGGUUAUGUAAGUCGGGUGUGAAAGCCCCGGGCUCAACCUGGGAAUUGCAUUCGAGACUGCAUAGCUAGGGUGCGGAAGAGGGAAGCGGAAUUUCCGGUGUAGCGGUGAAAUGCGUAGAUAUCGGAAGGAACACCAGUGGCGAAAGCGGCUUCCUGGUCCAGCACCGACGUUCAGGCACGAAAGCGUGGGGAGCAAACAGG
Molecule: ribosomal RNA, 253 nt
Filed under: uncultured bacterium
Lineage: Bacteria
Description: partial 16S ribosomal RNA
Rfam family: Bacterial small subunit ribosomal RNA
Source: RNAcentral